CAGGGAACAGGACCAACGCCUCCCGCAUUCUGAGAGAUCAGGGCUCCAGCAGCUCCGCAGACAGCGACCCGUCUGUGCCCUGCAGAGAGCAGGAGAUCCCCAGCUUCGAGGAGUGGACCAAGAUCAUGCUGAAGGUGGAGAACCAGAAGAGUGAGUCGUGUUGAGACCGGAGCUGCUCCUGCUCUCGCUGACAGUGUUUCUGUCCAUCAGGUCAGAUCACACACCUUUCUGACAGCCUUCACGCUGCGGGGAAGAAGCUUCAGCAGACCGUCACCAACUACGCCUCUGUGGAGUGUGGAGCCAAGAUCCUGUCCUCCAACCCUGAGGCCAAGGUUCAUCAGCAUGUCUGAUCCCGUCUGUGUUUGACACAGAGUUACUGUGAGACAGGCACUGAACUCCAGAAGCACUUCUGCUAUUCUGAUGGAGAGCAUGUACAUGCUGAAUCCCUGCAAUAAGAUCUGGCGGGCUGAUUAGACUGUUUGUUUUAACGUCAGGCAAAACUAUUCUGUGUGAUAAUUGUUGUGUGUUGCUGUGAUUGAUCUGAAGUCUUGCCGUUGUGUUUGCUGUGUGAAAUCACUCAAUAGCCUGUGUUUAGUACCUAGACAGACUUUCCAGACAGAUAACAGCAGGAUCUGUGUUAUUCCUCAUAUGAGUGUUUGUGAAAUGAAGAGCACUAGAGAGAGCCGUCAGCAGUGAUGGAGAAGCUCUGUGGUCUUCACCGUCUCCUCAUCGUGAGCUCUGUCAGCCCAUUCAUCUCAAGCAGCUGGACAUCGCUAACUUUGAGAUCUCCUCCUCAAACCCCAAAGUCUUCCUGGUGUCCAUCAGUGACAGUGUGUGAAGCUCGGGACGUUUCAUGCACGUGA
Molecule: long non-coding RNA, 863 nt
Filed under: Sinocyclocheilus anshuiensis
Lineage: Eukaryota; Metazoa; Chordata; Actinopteri; Cypriniformes; Cyprinidae
Description: lncRNA (ENSSANG00000043203.1)
Source: RNAcentral